Molecule: transfer RNA, 73 nt
Filed under: Prosthecobacter vanneervenii
Lineage: Bacteria; Pseudomonadati; Verrucomicrobiota; Verrucomicrobiia; Verrucomicrobiales; Verrucomicrobiaceae
Description: tRNA-Asn
Rfam family: tRNA
About the family: Transfer RNA (tRNA) molecules are approximately 80 nucleotides in length.
Source: RNAcentral
UCCCCUGUGAGGUAAAGUAGCCUGUCGGCCUGUUAAGCCGAUCGUCGUGGUGCGAAUCCACGUCGGGGAGCCA